MicroRNA precursor from Oreochromis niloticus (Nile tilapia), 59 nucleotides. The record is from Ensembl. NCBI's taxonomy places the organism in Eukaryota, Metazoa, Chordata, Actinopteri, Cichliformes, Cichlidae.
UGAGCAAGCGUGGAGGAGGGAAACCUGCUCCUUUCUUUCCUCCUGCUCUCCUGCUUUCA